This 2856-nucleotide long non-coding RNA is filed under the name Salvia miltiorrhiza (redroot sage). RNAcentral describes it as "long non-coding RNA (SMIL_LNC005298)". The record is from RNAcentral. Lineage: Eukaryota; Viridiplantae; Streptophyta; Magnoliopsida; Lamiales; Lamiaceae.
GAGAAUGUCUCCAAGAAGGUGAGCCUUCAAUUUACCUUAGUGGGGUGAGAAUCCUAACCUCUUCAUAGCUUUUGGUUUCUCGGAUAACAGGUUAUUAAAAGGGGAGGAAAGUGAAUUGAGAAAUCAAGAGUAAUUUUAUUCUAUUUUGCUUCUCUUCAUUGGGGAUCAAAAUUUCCUAGCACUUCGUAAACCUUUUAGGGAUCGUUUGGUUUGAUGGAUGGGAUAGAUAAGAUUGAUAGAAUUGGAGAGUGAUUAAAUAAUCCACCAACUUCGGGGUACUAAAUAAUCACUCAAUUGCAUGAUUAGAGUGUGAGUGAGCCUAGUUAUCCAUCACGUGCCCAAUCAUGCAAACCAAACACUUGAUUAAGUUGGAUUAUUUAUCAAUCAUGCCUUAUCACUCAAACCAAACACCUCCUUAAUAGCUUUUGGUUCUUUUCUGGNAAAAUAAAAUCUCCACUAGUUUUACUUCCAAUUUUAUUAUAUACUAGUAGUACUAAAUUAAAUUCUGCUCCAAAUCCUUUCCUUCACAUGAAAAUACAUGUGAAAUUUAAUGUGCAUUCAAUUUUGGCAAAAUUAUUGAACACUUGAAAAGCAAGCAAAAUUUCCGAAAAAAGAAAAAGUUUUUUGUGUGUUGGCAAAUGAUAGGAUGACCUCAAGUAGCACCUGGAGUUAUAUGCUAUGCUAUAGCUGUCUCGUAGCUGGCUCCCUCACAUUACUAUUUUAAAAACUCCAUCCUCGCUUGCAUUCUCUCUCUCUCUCUCUGCGCGGAAAUCAUCACCUCUCUCUCACACCUGCUAUGCUAAUGUGCUUUCUCUCUCUAGUUCGUCUGUAUGUCUCCCCUCUUCUCUCAUUUGCUGCGUUGUUUCUGAUUUGAUUGACAGUGAAUGUGGCUGUUGUCUGCUUGGUGAUCGUACUAUAGUUAGGGUUUAAUUUUGAGGUUAGGGUUUUGAUUCCGUGUUAUUGGAGAUUUCUAACUGUUUUCCUCCUAAUUCUUUUUGCAGUUAAGCAGUUCAUCGGGUGCUAACCGGUGCUGCAGAGGAUUGCUAGUUGGAGUUGCGUACUUGGGGGAUUGAAGAAAUUCAAGUUGAGAUAAUUGUUCGCCGGUUUGGGGGGGACUUGCCGCCGGCGAGAUGAGCGCGUCUAGAUUUAUUAAGUGCGUGACCGUGGGCGACGGAGCUGUGGGUAAAACUUGCUUGCUCAUCUCUUACACUAGCAAUACUUUUCCAACUGUAAGUUUUAUUCUCCAACUCUUUUGAUUUUUGGCUGUUCUUUAAUUUACAUUUUCUGUUGCAUCGUAACUUUUUGUUAAUUGUUGAGCUUAUUUCAAUUCGGGUAAGAGCAGGUAAUGUUGAUGUUAAUAUUGUUCAAGCUUUUGUAGUCAAUGUAGUUCUGGCAUGGUUGGGAAACAAUGAUUUUUUUCCCUUGCGUCUUCGAGCAUUCUAAUAUUGAUAGGAAUUUGGUGGCAUGGACUGUUGGACUGUAAUAAUUUGGAGCUUCUAGUUUUCAUUCUGUUCUGGUAGUAUAAGUUUAGGCUCGGGGGUGGAGGUGGGAGUAAGAUUUUUGAAUAAGUGCCUGAGGAAUACAUUUCUUUUUCUGGAUACGGUUUUGAACAAUCAGACGUGUGAAAAAAAGGAGGAUUGGAAUAUGCUUUUGACUGAAUCCUUUUUACCUUUUUGUCACGCACAUAGCCUCCCUUUUCAAGUUACCAAUUUUGUUUUUGAAUUCAUUUGGUUUAGCUUUAUCAAUUAUGACAUGAAUACGAAUUCAAAAAAUAGAAUAUUUAUCCAUCAAUCAUCAUUGGAUAUGUAGAUUCCUUUUUUCUUUUAGUGUUUUCUGAUUUACUUUUCACUGUGUCGCCUUUUUUAUUCAAAUGUAGAUCUUCUGAGUAACAUAAUUUUGUAACUCACUUUUCAUUGAUAUAGAUUAUGUUUAAGGAUAUUGAAUAUACCAAAAGUGCAUAGACAAGUAAAAGUUUGCAAACUUUUCUCUGCUCCCUCACCGAACCUGUGAGCUUUUAUCUUUUGGGUUCGUUGUUAAAACUCAUGUAGGAUGGUUAUGAACUUCUUAACAGAUUUUGAUGUAGAUGCCGCUUAAAAAGAGUGAAUUAUGGUACCUAUUGGACUGUAGGCUCUGCUUCACUUUGUCCCGUUUACUUUUCUUUUGUGCUCUACAACAUAUCAUGUUCAAAUUGGUUACACUCAAGUCACAUGCUAUUAUAGUUUUCAGCAGUGGAAAAUUUUCUUCUUGGUUACUAGGUUUCUAACUGGAUCUUUUUUGUUUUGGCUUAAACAGGAUUAUGUCCCAACUGUUUUUGAUAAUUUCAGUGCCAAUGUCGUAGUGGACGGUAGCACUGUUAAUCUAGGAUUGUGGGAUACUGCAGGUAAAUUAAUAUUCCCGUGCAUACUUUCUAAUUCAUCUUUCAAAAAACUACAGAACAGGCAGUCACACUUUAUUCUACAGGCCAAGAGGAUUACAAUAGAUUGAGACCAUUGAGCUACCGUGGGGCUGAUGUCUUUAUUCUCGCCUUCUCUCUUAUUAGCAAGGCUAGUUACGAGAAUGUCUCCAAGAAGGUGAGCCUUCAAUUUACCUUAGUGGGGUGAGAAUCCUAACCUCUUCAUAGCUUUUGGUUUCUCGGAUAACAGGUUAUUAAAAGGGGAGGAAAGUGAAUUGAGAAAUCAAGAGUAAUUUUAUUCUAUUUUGCUUCUCUUCAUUGGGGAUCAAAAUUUCCUAGCACUUCGUAAACCUUUUAGGGAUCGUUUGGUUUGAUGGAUGGGAUAGAUAAGAUUGAUAGAAUUGGAGAGUGAUUAAAUAAUCCACCAACUUCGGGGUACUAAAUAAUCACUCAAUUGCAUGAUU